GGGGUUGUAGCUCAGUGGUAGAGCACUUGCCUCACACAGAUGAGGCCCUGGGUUCAAUCCCCAGCACCA
This 69-nucleotide transfer RNA is filed under the name Ictidomys tridecemlineatus (thirteen-lined ground squirrel). RNAcentral describes it as "Spermophilus tridecemlineatus (thirteen-lined ground squirrel) tRNA". It matches the Rfam family "tRNA". From Rfam's summary of the family: Transfer RNA (tRNA) molecules are approximately 80 nucleotides in length. Their secondary structure includes four short double-helical elements and three loops (D, anti-codon, and T loops). Further hydrogen bonds mediate the characteristic L-shaped molecular structure. tRNAs have two regions of fundamental functional importance: the anti-codon, which is responsible for specific mRNA codon recognition, and the 3' end, to which the tRNAs corresponding amino acid is attached (by aminoacyl-tRNA synthetases). tRNAs cope with the degeneracy of the genetic code in two manners: having more than one tRNA (with a specific anti-codon) for a particular amino acid; and 'wobble' base-pairing, i.e. permitting non-standard base-pairing at the 3rd anti-codon position. The record is from Rfam by way of RNAcentral. Lineage: Eukaryota; Metazoa; Chordata; Mammalia; Rodentia; Sciuridae.